This is a non-coding RNA of Roseburia intestinalis XB6B4, 270 nucleotides long. NCBI's taxonomy places the organism in Bacteria, Bacillati, Bacillota, Clostridia, Lachnospirales, Lachnospiraceae. The record is from Rfam.
UAGUAGGCUGAUGGAUUGAGAGAUGAAGGCUGAGAGGCUGGACGGAAGUUCGGGCAAUGCGGGAUCAGGUAUGUUGCGUAAGGAUAAUAACCCAUGAGGGGCGAGAAGUUCGUCCCGAUCCCCGCAAUGCAGGUAGGGGAGAUAGUGCUUCUCCGGAAUGGAGAAGGGCGUCGUGAACACAGAUAGUGGCUCGUCUGUAAUUCCCGGAGAUGAGUACACCUUUACGUAUACGGGGCGAUGAGGGGUCAGAAAGACCGGCGUAUACCUUCA